RNAcentral lists this ribosomal RNA (636 nucleotides) under Sarsarietellus orientalis. RNAcentral describes it as "partial 28S ribosomal RNA". It matches the Rfam family "Eukaryotic large subunit ribosomal RNA", at positions 113 to 667 of the family's 3401-position model. The record is from RNAcentral. Lineage: Eukaryota; Metazoa; Arthropoda; Copepoda; Calanoida; Arietellidae.
GCCGAACCACAGUCCUUGCAGGUCUCGUGGAAUGUGGCGUUUGGGAGAGUCUUCUCGUGGUGUGGACGGCCAGUCAAAGUCCAACUUGACAGUGGCCAUGGCCCAUAGAGGGUGAUAGGCCCGUAAGGCGGCUGUCCUGCUACGCUGACUUUUCCCUAGAGUCGGGUUGCUUGGGAGUGCAGCCCAAAGUGCGAGGUAAACUCCUCGUAAGGCUAAAUAUGACCCCGAGACCGAUAGCAAACAAGUACCGUGAGGGAAGAUUGAAAAGAACUUUGAAGAGAGAGUUCAAGAGUACGUGAAACUGUGUGGUGGUAAACGGAGGGGUUCUCGAAGUUUCCAGGGGGGACUCAACCUUGGUGGUUAUGGGUCAGGGUGUAUGUGAUCAGCAAUGACACUGCGCCUCGUCCCCACAACCUCCCGGACGCACUUUCCCCUUGGUUGACGGCAGGAACCGUUAGGAGUGGACCGAAGGCCUGAGGUGAAGUUGUUGGUUAUGCUGGCAGCCCUUGGUGUCCUGGCUUCACGCCUGACGGGUACUUGAGCAAACUUGUAUAGCAAGUGGCAUACUCUGCCACGGUUUGCAUUUCUCUGCCGAGUAGGUCGGUGGCCCCUCCGACCCGUCUUGAAACACGGACC